AUACGGAGGGUGCGAGCGUUGUUCGGAAUUAUUGGGCGUAAAGAGCAUGUAGGCGGUCUGUUAAGUCUGGUGUGAAAGCCCGGGGCUCAACCCCGGAAGUGCAUUGGAUACUGGCAGACUUGAGUAUGGGAGAGGAAAGCGGAAUUCCGAGUGUAGGAGUGAAAUCCGUAGAUAUUCGGAGGAACACCAGUGGCGAAGGCGGCUUUCUGGACCAAUACUGACGCUGAGAUGCGAAAGCGUGGUGAGCAAACAGGAUUAGAAACCCUAGUAGUCC
This 274-nucleotide ribosomal RNA is filed under the name uncultured bacterium. RNAcentral describes it as "partial 16S ribosomal RNA". It matches the Rfam family "Bacterial small subunit ribosomal RNA", at positions 523 to 796 of the family's 1533-position model. The record is from RNAcentral.